RNAcentral lists this unclassified non-coding RNA (313 nucleotides) under Hevea brasiliensis (rubber tree). Lineage: Eukaryota; Viridiplantae; Streptophyta; Magnoliopsida; Malpighiales; Euphorbiaceae. The record is from RNAcentral.
AGAGAGAGAGAGAGAGAGAGCUUGAUGAUGAAUCUAUGACUUUCGCGAAAAUCUCAUUAAGGGGGAGUGUUGGAAUCGAUGAGAUUUUUACUUAAUGUAUGGGAUAUCUCAUUGACGAAUCCUAUGACUAUUAAAAAAAUCACGAGAUUUGUUACCAAAAUCUUAGUAGUGAUUUAUGAUUUAUUGAUAGUAUUCCAUAUAUAUCAUGUAUCUUACAUUAUAAAUGUGGAGUUUUGUGCAUUAUGUAAGACACACAGCACGAGUGAAUGAAAUCUACUUUUUUUCCCCAUCUUUUCUAUCCUUCUAAAUUCAA